RNAcentral lists this ribosomal RNA (673 nucleotides) under uncultured Vibrionaceae bacterium. Its description in RNAcentral is "bacterial SSU rRNA". It matches the Rfam family "Bacterial small subunit ribosomal RNA", at positions 1 to 671 of the family's 1533-position model. The record is from RNAcentral. Lineage: Bacteria; Pseudomonadati; Pseudomonadota; Gammaproteobacteria; Vibrionales; Vibrionaceae.
UAGAGUUUGAUCAUGGCUCAGAUUGAACGCUGGCGGCAGGCCUAACACAUGCAAGUCGAGCGGAAACGAGAAUAGCUUGCUAUUCGGCGUCGAGCGGCGGACGGGUGAGUAAUGCCUGGGAAUAUGCCCUGAUGUGGGGGAUAACUAUUGGAAACGAUAGCUAAUACCGCAUAAUCUCUUCGGGGUAAAGAGGGGGACCUUCGGGCCUCUCGCGUCAGGAUUAGCCCAGGUGGGAUUAGCUUGUUGGUGAGGUAAUGGCUCACCAAGGCGACGAUCCCUAGCUGGUUUGAGAGGAUGAUCAGCCACACUGGAACUGAGACACGGUCCAGACUCCUACGGGAGGCAGCAGUGGGGAAUAUUGCACAAUGGGCGAAAGCCUGAUGCAGCCAUGCCGCGUGUGUGAAGAAGGCCUUCGGGUUGUAAAGCACUUUCAGCAGUGAGGAAGGUUGGUAAGUUAAUACCUUAUCAGCUUGACGUUAGCUGCAGAAGAAGCACCGGCUAACUCCGUGCCAGCAGCCGCGGUAAUACGGAGGGUGCGAGCGUUAAUCGGAAUUACUGGGCGUAAAGCGCAUGCAGGUGGUCUGUUAAGCAAGAUGUGAAAGCCCGGGGCUCAACCUCGGAACAGCAUUUUGAACUGGCAGACUAGAGUACUGUAGAGGGGGGUAGAAUUUCA